UACGUAGGGUGCAAGCGUUAAUCGGAAUUACUGGGCGUAAAGCGUGCCCAGGCGGUUUUGUAAGUCUGACGUGAAAUCCCCGGGCUCAACCUGGGAAUUGCGUUGGAGACUGCAAGGCUAGAAUCUGGCAGAGGGGGGUAGAAUUCCACGUGUAGCAGUGAAAUGCGUAGAGAUGUGGAGGAACACCGAUGGCGAAGGCAGUCCCCUGGGUCAAGAUUGACGCUCAUGCACGAAAGCGUGGGGAGCAAACAGG
RNAcentral lists this ribosomal RNA (253 nucleotides) under uncultured bacterium. RNAcentral describes it as "partial 16S ribosomal RNA". It matches the Rfam family "Bacterial small subunit ribosomal RNA", at positions 524 to 776 of the family's 1533-position model. The record is from RNAcentral.